GUGAGGAAUAUUGCGCAAUGGAGGCAACUCUGACGCAGCCAUGCCGCGUGCAGGAAGAAGGCGCUACGCUUUGUAAACUGCUUUUAACCGGGAAGAAACCCCAGGACGUGUCCUGGGUUGACGGUACCGGAGGAAUAAGCACCGGCUAACUUCGUGCCAGCAGCCGCGGUAAUACGAAGGGUGCAAGCGUUAUCCGGAUUCAUUGGGUUUAAAGGGUGCGUAGGCGGAGCGUUAAGUCAGUGGUGAAAUCCUGCAGCUUAACUGUAGACUUGCCAUUGAUACUGGCGCUCUUGAGUGCGCUUGAAGUGGGCGGAAUGUAACGUGUAGCGGUGAAAUGCUUAGAUAUGGCACAGAACACCAAUUGCGAAGGCAGCUCACUAAGGCGAUACUGACGCUGAGGCACGAAAGCGUGGGGAUCGAACAGGAUUAGAAACCCCGGUAGUCC
This 445-nucleotide ribosomal RNA is filed under the name uncultured bacterium. RNAcentral's name for it is "partial 16S ribosomal RNA". It matches the Rfam family "Bacterial small subunit ribosomal RNA", at positions 354 to 796 of the family's 1533-position model. The record is from RNAcentral.